AAAUUAUCUAACAAUGAAGGUAUACUGGCUCGACAAGAACAAGAGAGAUUCUACGUGGUUUAUCGUUUAUACAACAGGUUCCUCUAACCAGACUAAAGUACCGCCAGGUUCUUUGAAUUUCAAACAAAUUAGUUAUAAAUACUCAAGCCAUCCUUCGCUAUUAUUUUCCAGUGUAACAGGGUAUCUAAUCCUGGUUCAUAUCUGAAACUUCUUGGCUUCAACCUAAGUCUACCCCCUACAAGAACUCAAUUACUUAGCCUAAUAAACAAAUUUCACCUCUUAUUAUUUUAAGCACUAAAUAAGGAAGACUCAUUUUCAUCUAACCGAUGACUUAUACUUCUUCACUGGACCUUCAAGUCUAACCGCGGAUGCUGGCACAAGUUUUAACCUGGCCUAAGUGGUGUUUACUUAAUCCAACUUUUGUUGAUUUUUAAAUUUUUAGUACUGCUUUAAUUUUUUCGUCAUAUAUUUCACUCCGAUCUAUCUAUUCGCUCUCAUAUCAAAUAAGAACAAGUUUUUUGUUUACUACCAGAAUUUGCAUGUACUUUCCA
RNAcentral lists this ribosomal RNA (551 nucleotides) under Panulirus japonicus (Japanese spiny lobster). RNAcentral describes it as "partial 12S ribosomal RNA". The record is from RNAcentral. Lineage: Eukaryota; Metazoa; Arthropoda; Malacostraca; Decapoda; Palinuridae.